This 273-nucleotide ribosomal RNA is filed under the name uncultured Staphylococcus sp. Its description in RNAcentral is "partial 16S ribosomal RNA". It matches the Rfam family "Bacterial small subunit ribosomal RNA", at positions 524 to 796 of the family's 1533-position model. Lineage: Bacteria; Bacillati; Bacillota; Bacilli; Caryophanales; Staphylococcaceae. The record is from RNAcentral.
UACGUACGUGGCAAGCGUUAUCCGGAAUUAUUGGGCGUAAAGCGCGCGUAGGCGGUUUUUUAAGUCUGAUGUGAAAGCCCACGGCUCAACCGUGGAGGGUCAUUGGAAACUGGAAAACUUGAGUGCAGAAGAGGAAAGUGGAAUUCCAUGUGUAGCGGUGACAUGCGCAGAGAUAUGGAGGAACACCAGUGGCGAAGGCGACUUUCUGGUCUGUAACUGACGCUGAUGUGCGAAAGCGUGGGGAUCAAACAGGAUUAGAAACCCUCGUAGUCC